Molecule: long non-coding RNA, 408 nt
Organism: Felis catus (domestic cat)
Lineage: Eukaryota; Metazoa; Chordata; Mammalia; Carnivora; Felidae
Exons: 2
Source: RefSeq, a predicted model, not a curated record
CCGAGAGAUCGUGACCUGAGCCAAAAUCAAGACUCAGACACUUAACCAACUGAGCCACCCAGGUGCCUAAAGGUUCUAUUCAUGAAGGUUGCAGAAGAACGUAAGAGGAUCCUGUCCACAAGAAGUUUAUACUCUAUUUGCCGGUGACCAGGUAUAGGACAUGGUGUGGAAAAAGAUAAAACGUAGGAGCCCUGGAAUCCAGGUUCAGCCCUACCUGUUCCCAUAACCAAAAGUGACUGCUGCUCUCAGCCUUCCAUUCACCUUCCUGAACUCAGAGAUCACACUAGAUGGUCUUUAAGUAACAAGAAAACUAAAUCGUCUUCAAGUUAUAAGAUAAUACGAUGGCAUUUGAAUAACCCUGGGAGUACCUAUAAAAUGCUUAGUAAACACUGGUUACUAUUACCCGUA